CACGUCUUUAUUAUUUCUUCAUAAAUCAAACACACAGGUUUGUCUGCAGAUGAUUUAAAGUGUGUCGUUGUGCAGUUAAAGCUGUUUGUGUGACGCCCUGACCUCCUGUGAAUGAAACAGCCAAUCAGAUCCAUCAGAGAGAGAGCAGGAAGUGUUGUGUGUUUGUGACAGAACAAGGAAACAGUGAUGAUGAUGAACAUACAGGUCCUCUGAUGUUUCCUGUUACAGUAACGCUUGUUCAUCUGUUGCUCUCCUACACUUUCCUAUAAAUAAAGGAGAAAAAGUGCGUUUAGUUUCAUUUCCUACAGCUCAGAGUUACACUUCACAUUCCUGCUGUCACAUCAAAAAGCUUCACUUUGGUCCAACAUCUACAUGUUAACAUGAAACACAGACAGACUCAGAACAUCUGGAACAUCUGCACUUUGACCCAAACUGUUAUAGCAGGAUAUUUUCUGCAUAUUUCUUAUGUUGGACCUGUUUGAACUGUAAACGACCUGUAAUCAUCUGUAAAUGGUGUGAGACACACUGAGGCCACCUACAGGGCAGCUGGGGAACAGCAGGGAUCUGAAAUCAUACGAGACGUUAGUGAUUAGAACAAACGGACUUAAGAUGGCUCGAAGUGAUCAAAGUUGGUCUAAAACAGAAGAUAAAUCCAAAGCAGCAUCAGAUGAAUGUUACCAUUUCCAGUUACGGUGCCCUUCAUCUAAUAUGGAAAUGUGUUGUUGUUUUUUUGCCGUGUUGUUGUUCUUCCUAUUGUGUUUAGGCCAGAGAUGCUCUUCAAACAGCGGACAGACAUGACCACAUUACAAGAACAUGGUGUGAGUCCGAUUUGAUAUUCCAGUCAACGCUGAGAGACCUUAACCAGGAAGUCAGAGGUCAGCUGAUGCUGCGAGCAGGAAGUGAACCAAGGGAAAGGUCCACUCUACUCAAUCUCAAAGAAAAUAUGCUGGUAUUUGUUGAUGUUGAUGGUACAAUAAAAAUAUAUAAUAUAAUAAAUAAUAAAAUAUCAUGUGAUGAUGAGAUGUGUUGUUGGUGUUUGUAUUUUCUGUAAAUGUCUUUUUAAUGUAAAUGCUUUGUUCCAGACGGACAGGGAAUCAGUUGCUGUACGAUGACAUCAUCUUGAUGUUGACGAGGAGGGCGAGAAAAACUAGUUUUGUCCUGCAGAUGGCGAUCUUGCACCGUGUUCAGAGAGCCGACACUUUGAUGGUGCUGCUCUACUCAGCUUACUUUAGCCUGGGUUGGACUCUAUAUGAGCAGCUUCCACUCUGGUUUCACUCUUAAACA
Astatotilapia calliptera (eastern happy) is the source of this 1284-nucleotide long non-coding RNA. The record is from Ensembl. Lineage: Eukaryota; Metazoa; Chordata; Actinopteri; Cichliformes; Cichlidae.